This 76-nucleotide transfer RNA is filed under the name Sphaerobacter thermophilus DSM 20745. RNAcentral's name for it is "tRNA-Ala". It matches the Rfam family "tRNA". Rfam says of the family: Transfer RNA (tRNA) molecules are approximately 80 nucleotides in length. Their secondary structure includes four short double-helical elements and three loops (D, anti-codon, and T loops). Further hydrogen bonds mediate the characteristic L-shaped molecular structure. tRNAs have two regions of fundamental functional importance: the anti-codon, which is responsible for specific mRNA codon recognition, and the 3' end, to which the tRNAs corresponding amino acid is attached (by aminoacyl-tRNA synthetases). tRNAs cope with the degeneracy of the genetic code in two manners: having more than one tRNA (with a specific anti-codon) for a particular amino acid; and 'wobble' base-pairing, i.e. permitting non-standard base-pairing at the 3rd anti-codon position. Lineage: Bacteria; Pseudomonadati; Thermomicrobiota; Thermomicrobia; Sphaerobacterales; Sphaerobacteraceae. The record is from RNAcentral.
GGGGCUGUAGCUUAGCUGGGAGAGCGCCGCCCUUGCACGGCGGAGGUCAGGGGUUCGAAUCCCCUCAGCUCCACCG